UUAAAGGCAUUUGCUAGUACCAUAUUGUGAUGAAGUCUUAGAACUUAUUGUUACUAGGCAUUUAACAAAGUUUUUUUUCCUUUUUUUCCCUCGUUCCAAAGUACUCCCUCUGUUUCAAAAUGUAGGUCGUUUUAGCUUUUCUAGAUACAUAGAUUUUGCUAUGUAUAAUGUAUCUAGACAUAACCCUACAUUUAUGUGCAUAGCAAUAUCUAUGUAUCAAGAAAAGCCAAAACGACCUACAUUUUGGAACAGAGGGAGUAACUUCAUAAGAUAUUAGGUAGCUAAGGCUAUGAAGAUAACAACAAAUUUCAACAAAUUGAAGGUUUAAGUUCCUUCAGUGCAAUCGAAUAGAAUUUGUGUGGGAAUACGUGACGACUGAUGCGUGGAAACUUAUGAGCAUGUAUCAGAUAACUUGACAGACACAGAUAUUCCUCGGAUGAUCAUUGGACAAGUAUUGAGCAUGUUCAGAUCAGAUUGACAUAUAUCAUGCUAUAUAGACAUUGCAAUAAAAAAAAAGGCGACGUUAGAUUUCUUGCCUU
Molecule: long non-coding RNA, 539 nt
Filed under: Setaria viridis
Lineage: Eukaryota; Viridiplantae; Streptophyta; Magnoliopsida; Poales; Poaceae
Description: long non-coding RNA (SVIR_LNC006160)
Source: RNAcentral